Molecule: transfer RNA, 65 nt
Filed under: Eurydema dominulus
Lineage: Eukaryota; Metazoa; Arthropoda; Insecta; Hemiptera; Pentatomidae
Description: tRNA-Trp
Source: RNAcentral
AAAGCUUUAAGUUAAAUACAAACUAUUAACCUUCAAAGUUAAAUAUAUAUUAUGUAUAAGCUUUA